UAGAAUAUACAAAAAUUUUGAAAAAUGCUUAGCAACAUUUCCAUGGUGACUUCACAGUUUUUGAUUAACGUCAGCAGCAAAAGACAAACGUUUUCGAUGUUAUGUAAGCCGAAAACGUUUGGCAAUGGAGAGUUUUUGUUGUGAGAUUGGCGCAGCUGCUUUGGUAUGUACCUGAUUCCAAAAGUACUGCUUGACUUUGCCAUAAUGGGGUAUGUCUUGAAAUGAGUCCCAAAUUUUCUCAAUCUGAAUCAAAUCAAGGAUUGUGGCAUUAUACUCAAACAACAGGUACAAAAAUGAAGCCUCAAACUAAAGACCAGUUGAAGAUGGUUCUCCAAGAACAUGGAUCAAUAUUCUACCAGAUGUUUGUUGUGCCUAUGUCAAAUCAAUGCCAAAGUAAGUUGCUGAUAUGUAUGCUGCAAAAAGAGAGCACCAAAAUAGUGAUUGGACAUAUUUGCUGGAUUUGCAUU
This 467-nucleotide long non-coding RNA is filed under the name Androctonus crassicauda. Lineage: Eukaryota; Metazoa; Arthropoda; Arachnida; Scorpiones; Buthidae. The record is from RNAcentral.